This is a long non-coding RNA of Aegilops tauschii subsp. strangulata, 502 nucleotides long. RefSeq lists it as uncharacterized. The record is from RefSeq and is a predicted model, not a curated record. Lineage: Eukaryota; Viridiplantae; Streptophyta; Magnoliopsida; Poales; Poaceae.
GUGUUGUUUGCUACUUGCCGCUGUUGCUGCAUGCUGCUGGCCACUUGUUGCUUGUCGUUGAUGCUCAAUGAUGUUAGCCGUGACCUGCCUGUAGAUGAGAGAAAGAGAGAUUGAUUUGCUAGUGCAAGUAUCUAAUGAGCCAGAUGCCAGCUGGUUUGAUCUUUUCAGCAAACGCUAUUGGGAAGUUGUGAGUGUGGGAGCGACACUGUUUUUGUUUCAGUAACUUGCUGGCAUAAAUGUUGUCGUGUACUACUCUACGUCCAUGUUCCACAGUACAGGCCUUGCAUCUAAUGUUGCAGCGAGUGCUCUUGUUCGGUGAUGCCAAUGUUUUUGGCACCAUGAUUGCAUCUCCACUGAUGGUCAAGCAAGGAAGGAAGAGCCUUCUCAUAACAAGAUUAUCUGGAAUGGCGCGUCGAUGUUACUCUUGUCAUUGUCCUUCACCUGGAAGGCUUUAGCACCUUAUUAUGGCACUCUUGCUGUUGUUGGCACUGUCCUGUAAGUG